Molecule: long non-coding RNA, 341 nt
Organism: Sinocyclocheilus grahami
Lineage: Eukaryota; Metazoa; Chordata; Actinopteri; Cypriniformes; Cyprinidae
Exons: 3
Source: RefSeq, a predicted model, not a curated record
AGCUGGCGGAUCGUAGCUGGAGUCGUGUGUGCCGAUCGCUCCGGAUCCUGGACGUCUGAUCAGGAACGGUGUGUGUGGAGACACGGAGACCUCCUCCUUCAUAAAGCCGCUCAGUUCAUGGAUAUUCCCCUCUGGACAGAGGAGGCUUAGAGAUGGAGGGAAACCCCGGAUGGUGUUUCUCACGUACACACGGGUGAAUCUCUCCUCUGAGUCAGUCACACAUCGCCGCUGGCUGAUGAGUUCAUUCAGCUGUUUGACGUUUUCUUCUGUCCUGAUGUGCACUUGUAACGUUUCUUGUGCUAAAAAAGUCGUAAUUUAGUUUCUAAAGAUUCUUUCCCACC